Molecule: ribosomal RNA, 253 nt
Filed under: uncultured bacterium
Lineage: Bacteria
Description: partial 16S ribosomal RNA
Rfam family: Bacterial small subunit ribosomal RNA
Source: RNAcentral
UACGAAGGGGGCGAGCGUUGUUCGGAUUUACUGGGCGUAAAGGGCGCGCAGGCGGCAGACCAAGUCAGGCGUGAAGGCCCCGGGCUUAACCUGGGAACUGCGUCCGAUACUGGCAGGCUUGAAUCCGGGAGAGGGAUGCGGAAUUCCAGGUGUAGCGGUGAAAUGCGUAGAUAUCUGGAGGAACACCGGUGGCGAAGGCGGCAUCCUGGACCGGUAUUGACGCUGAGGCGCGAAAGCCAGGGGAGCAAACGGG